CGAUUCAAAUGAAGUUUUCGGAUGGAUUUUGAAUUGACUUAGCGGCGGACGGGUGAGUAACGCGUGGGUAACCUGCCUCAUACAGGGGGAUAACAGUUGGAAACGGCUGCUAAUACCGCAUAAGCACACAGUGCCACAUGGUACGGUGUGAAAAACUCCGGUGGUAUGAGAUGGACCCGCGUCUGAUUAGGUAGUUGGUGAGGUAACGGCCCACCAAGCCGACGAUCAGUAGCCGACCUGAGAGGGUGACCGGCCACAUUGGGACUGAGACACGGCCCAAACUCCUACGGGAGGCAGCAGUGGGGAAUAUUGGACAAUGGGGGAAACCCUGAUCCAGCGACGCCGCGUGAGUGAAGAAGUAUUUCGGUAUGUAAAGCUCUAUCAGCAGGGAAGAAAAUGACGGUACCUGACUAAGAAGCCCCGGCUAACUACGUGCCAGCAGCCGCGGUAAUACGUAGGGGGCAAGCGUUAUCCGGAUUUACUGGGUGUAAAGGGAGCGUAGACGGCACUGCAAGUCUGGAGUGAAAGCCCGGGGCUCAACCCCGGGACUGCUUUGGAAACUGUGGUGCUAGAGUGCAGGAGAGGUAAGUGGAAUUCCUAGUGUAGCGGUGAAAUGCGUAGAUAUUAGGAGGAACACCAGUGGCGAAGGCGGCUUACUGGACUGUAACUGACGUUGAGGCUCGAAAGCGUGGGGAGCAAACAGGAUUAGAUACCCUGGUAGUCCACGCCGUAACGAUGAAUACUAGGUGUUGGGGAGCAAAGCUCUUCGGUGCCGCCGCUAACGCA
This 786-nucleotide ribosomal RNA is filed under the name Lacrimispora sphenoides. Its description in RNAcentral is "bacterial SSU rRNA". It matches the Rfam family "Bacterial small subunit ribosomal RNA", at positions 58 to 859 of the family's 1533-position model. The record is from RNAcentral. Lineage: Bacteria; Bacillati; Bacillota; Clostridia; Lachnospirales; Lachnospiraceae.